AGAUUAUGCUAGAUCGAACAGUCGCGUGCGGUUUUAGUGCAUAUACCUGUUACCAAGAUGAGACAGGAUAUCGUGA
Harpegnathos saltator (Jerdon's jumping ant) is the source of this 76-nucleotide long non-coding RNA. RefSeq lists it as uncharacterized. The record is from RefSeq and is a predicted model, not a curated record. The transcript has 2 exons. NCBI's taxonomy places the organism in Eukaryota, Metazoa, Arthropoda, Insecta, Hymenoptera, Formicidae.